CAUGGUGAGGGGCAGAGAGACGGAGGAGAGAGAGGAGACCUCCCAGUAGAGAGAGCGAGACAGGAAGAGCUGGUAGAGGAUCACCAUGGAGAUGGACUGGCAGAGGAUCACACCAAUGGUCACCACCUGCAGAGAGGGAAGAUAGCGGACGUGAGGAAGAGGACGGGAUGGCAGAGGAACCACAGGAAGCAUCCCUGCAGAGAACACAAGGGUGACCACCUGAUAGGAACAUAUUCGUGUGUCUGGAGCGUACACUCGUGUACUGUGUGUUGUACCUUGGCGAAGCAGAGGUAGAAGUCUCUCUUCAGGGUGCUCCUCUCGGUGGAGAUGAUCUGGUAGAGGACAGACGCCAGCAGGAGGGCCAGGCCCACUCUCAGAGCUAUGAGGAGGAGACCUGCCAGAUUCUGCUGGGUGUGGUAGCUGUGAUGUUGACUGUCUAACUCCGAGUACUGCUCCCACAGCAGCAACCCUCCCUGAAAAUGACACAGUUUCAUUCUCAAACGUUCCACUAUCAUCUGAUCCUGAUGUAUUUAUGUCAAAACCACAGUGUAACCCUGCGUACCUGCACAACGACUCCUCCAACAGCGACAGCCGUGGACUUGGGAGUCUGUUCCCACUGCAGAGGUCUGGACUGAGGCUUCCUUCCGCGGCUCAGAGUCCAGCCCACACACAGACUCAGUAACAUGUACAGCAUGGACACCUGGGACACCAUAUCCCAGACUGCACAUGGAACAGGAAGUGGAAAAGAAGAGGGCACAUAACAUAACAAGACAGUGCUCCAGAGGAUUUCCAGCCGAGUCGGCGUUGAACAGCAAGACAGUGAAACUGAGAUCAGCGUGAGAAGGGAUCACUACGUUUUCCUGGAGACAGAGAGAGAAGAACAACAAACUCAGUACCAAUAUAACUACUGAAACUAAAUAAAACUUUUGUCCAGCUCAA
Cottoperca gobio is the source of this 939-nucleotide long non-coding RNA. RefSeq lists it as uncharacterized. The record is from RefSeq and is a predicted model, not a curated record. The transcript is spliced from 4 exons. NCBI's taxonomy places the organism in Eukaryota, Metazoa, Chordata, Actinopteri, Perciformes, Bovichtidae.